Molecule: long non-coding RNA, 876 nt
Organism: Cercocebus atys (sooty mangabey)
Lineage: Eukaryota; Metazoa; Chordata; Mammalia; Primates; Cercopithecidae
Exons: 3
Source: RefSeq, a predicted model, not a curated record
UGUGUUUAGUGCUUACGUGGAUUCUCUCAUUUAAUCCUCAGGCAAUUCUCUAAGGAAAGUACUGUCAUGUCACCCCCGUCUGAGAGGACUGAGGCUCAGUGAGGUCCCAUGAGGUCACAGAGACAGCUUUUAAACUGUGUCAAGAUAGCCAGAGCUGGAACAGCAGAGCUACGCUGAUUGCUUGCUGGACAUGGAAGAGCAGCUUCUCUCACGCAAAGGUGUUUUCAGCAGGUUUCCCUUGGUUAAAGGAGAAAGGCUGGAUGCAGGAUAAAAAGAAAAACACUUUCCUCCAUGAAGGUGGGUUCUCAAGGGUGUGUUUGACUGAGGAGACAACUGUAAAGUCUCUUGGAAAUUGGUCCUUGCUCUGAUUUUUGCCGCGAAAGUACUGUUGUCAAACAGAUUCAAAUGGGUUUCACAAUUAAUGUGAAGAGGCUCCGGUUACGCCGCAAACGAGUGUGACUGCCCCUCAGGAUUAAGGAUGUUUUUCUGUGGCUGAACUGAGGCAUCUGUCCCCAGGGCUGGAGGCUGGGUAUGGCCACAGCUGACCUCCUUCUCUCCAUGGUCCAAGAAACUAACUUGGGAAAGAAGAGGGGAAGUUCUUAUUUUCACAUGCUGAAUAAAUUACCAGAAAUAGAACUUGGCUCAGAACCUCACAUAUCUUCAGACCAAGAACAACUAUGCUGGAGAAGCUGUAUUUCCUUGACCAUCACUGAGGAGGCUCAUCUGCACGUGGAAUGAAUUAAGAUAUCAAUGUCCUAUUUUGACUGCAUGUUAUUCAGAAAUGAGACUUUGGGAAGUCUUAGCAGGGGGUCAAUGCAUUUUGUAUGUGUAGGGGAAUAUAAAUAAUUUUGGGUCAGUGGGCAGAGGGGUUUUUAA